UAACGAAUGUAUGAAACUGAAAUAAAAUGAUAAGUAAAUAUAUGAAAUUGAAAUGUUAUAAAGAUGUUGUAAGGAAUUGAAAUCGACCCCAAACUUGAGGGGGUAAAAUGUAAUUUACCCUAAAAAAAUUAAAUAAAUAGAUAGUAUAUACAAAUGAGUAGAAUACAUGCUUGGAGUUGUAAGUUAAUUAAAUUUGUUGAGGUGCUAAAUACUUUUUUUCAUGUUGAAAUUAACUUUCGAAUAUCAAGUCAAUAUUGAAAAUAAUUAAUAAAAAGUAAAGAGGAUUAAGAG
This 291-nucleotide long non-coding RNA is filed under the name Malus domestica (apple). Its description in RNAcentral is "long non-coding RNA (MDOM_LNC000917)". Lineage: Eukaryota; Viridiplantae; Streptophyta; Magnoliopsida; Rosales; Rosaceae. The record is from RNAcentral.